RNAcentral lists this ribosomal RNA (253 nucleotides) under uncultured bacterium. RNAcentral's name for it is "partial 16S ribosomal RNA". It matches the Rfam family "Bacterial small subunit ribosomal RNA", at positions 524 to 776 of the family's 1533-position model. The record is from RNAcentral.
UACGUAGGUGGCAAGCGUUGUCCGGAAUUACUGGGUGUAAAGCGCGUGUAGGCGGGAGGCCAAGUCUGUGGUGAAAUCGCCUGGCUUAACUGGGCGGGGUCCAUGGAAACUGGUCACCUGGAGGUCGGUAGAGGCAAGUGGAAUUCCCGGUGUAGUGGUGAAAUGCGUAGAGAUCGGGAGGAACACCAGUGGCGAAGGCGGCUCGCUGGGCCGGUCCUGACACUGAGGCGCGAAGGCGUGGGGAGCGAACGGG